UUGUCACCAUAAGAAGGGCUUUAUGCAUUUCGACAGUUGUUAGAUUUGUCUUUUUAGCGUUUCUUUAUUCUUCCAUAUUUUGUUUCAUCUUUCUUGUGCUUUUUGUUUGGUUUUGGACUUUUACCGGUACGAUGUUGUUGAACGAUGAAGAUGGUAAUGUGGUUUAAAGGUUGUUGUUGGUUUGAGUGAAGGGCUUUCCGUGUUUGGGUUAUGAAGGAAGGGGGAAG
RNAcentral lists this long non-coding RNA (227 nucleotides) under Lathyrus oleraceus (garden pea). Its description in RNAcentral is "Pisum sativum (pea) long non-coding RNA (PSAT_LNC014903)". The record is from RNAcentral. Lineage: Eukaryota; Viridiplantae; Streptophyta; Magnoliopsida; Fabales; Fabaceae.